Molecule: long non-coding RNA, 2377 nt
Organism: Scomber scombrus (Atlantic mackerel)
Lineage: Eukaryota; Metazoa; Chordata; Actinopteri; Scombriformes; Scombridae
Exons: 2
Source: RefSeq, a predicted model, not a curated record
UUAUUUCAAUUUAUUUAUCUUUAAAGAACCAAUACGAAUUGGGGAUGUUUUCAAAAUGGGUACGACAAUAAAAAACUGACCAUUUUCAUUCUUCUCCACCUUACCUUUCAGAUUGGAUCUCAGGCUGUGUACAGUGGAUUAAAAAAAAGUUUGCACACCCUCAUGAAAUUGCAGGUUUUUUGAAAUGUAAAGAUAGAAAUUGCAACAUAAACGUCAGACGUGCCAUUUUUAAUGUGAUCUUCCAGCAAACAAAAAUCCAGAGGAAAAAAACCCUGCUAAUUAGGAACAAAAUACAACACCCAAAUUUGCGCAAGCCUACACACCCUGCCCCAGGUGGAAGUCCCUUAUUACAGCAGCAAGUCUUUGUGAAUAAGUCUGUACUGACUUUGCACAUCUAGACUUUGGAAUUUUAUCCCACUCCUCUUUGUAAAAAAAAAGUUCAAGUUCCUUCAAAUUGCGAGGGGAUCUCCUGUGUACAGCUUUCUCUGGGUCAUUCCACAUUUCGAUGGGACUGAGGUCUGGGCUCUGACUGGGCCAUUCCAUGACUUUGAUUUUCCUUUUCUGAAGCCAUGCCUCGGUCAACUUGGAUGUGUGCUUUGGGUCACUGUCAUGUGAAAUUCCUCUUUAUCUUCAGCUUUCUGACAGAGGCCAGCAGGUUUUGUGCCAAAAUAUCUUGAUAUCUGGAACUAUUUGUUACCCGUAUAUCUUGACAAAAGCCCCUGACCCAGCUGAAGAGAAGCAGCCCCAAAGAAUUCAGUCAGUAUGGUGUUCCUUGGAUGAUGUGCUUGAUUGGCUUUACAUCAAACAUAUCUUUUACAAUUAAGGCUAAAAAGUUCUUGACCAUAACACAUUUACCCACAUGGUUUGGGCUGACUGAAAGCAUCUUUUGGCAUAAUUCAGACAUGCUUGGAUAAUCCUUUUUGGAAGGGUUUCUGUCUUGCUACCUUACCCCAUAUCUCAGACAUGUGCAGAAUACUGGAGAUGGUGGUCACGCGCAAAGAGUGACCAGCACCUGCCAGAAAUUCCUGUAGUUCCUACAGUGCUGUUGGCCUUUUGGUGGCGUCCCUGAUAAGUUUUCUCGCCGUCCUCCCAUCACCUUUGGAGGGUCUUCCUUAUCUUCUUUGCCAUGUCUCUGUGGUGCCACAUUUUCUCCCUUACUCAUGAUGGUUUUGACAGUGCUCCAUAGUACAUCCAAUGCCUUCAAUAUUCUUUUAUAUCCAUCUCCUGAUUGGUACUUUUCAACAAUUAGAUCUGUUUCUUUGGUAGCUCUUAACAGACCAUGGCUCCCCUAGUACGAUGCAACCACAAAUAAAUCCUACAGUAACAGCUGAGUUUAAUCUGGUUUUAAUCAGAACCACUUUCAUUGAUGGCGGGUGAAUACUAUUUACCUAAAGGCAUUAUUCUGAGUGUGAUUGGUUAACACAGCUGGACACAGCUAGAGCCCCCAUUAUGAAAGGGUGUGAAAACAUAUGCAAUCAUGGUGUUGUAGUUUUUUUAAUCUUAAAUAUUCCUAGUAAUUGUUUUUCUCAUAAUUUUAAAUUUGUUGGAAGAGCACAUUAAAGACGGAACAAGUCUGACAUUUACAUUGUUAUUUCUGUUUUUGCAUUUCAAAUACCUGCAAUUUCAUAAGGGUGUGUAAACUUUUUAUUUCCACUGUGUAUAAGUUUAAAUACACAUAAUUAGGGAAGUCCUAUUGUUGCCCUGUAGAGGAGAAUGAAUGAAAGCAGAAGUACCUAUCACAGAGGUUGCCAAGUUUUUCCUGUUUUACUGCCCGGAUGUGAAUCUGAAGUGUCUGUGCGCAUGUGUUUGUGUGUUUGUGUUUGUGUUUGUGUGUGUUUGUGUUUGUGUUGUGUGUGUAUGUCAGCAGGGUUUGGUGGGCUUUUCAGAGGUGGACUGAUUAUUGCACUCCAACAAGGUAAUAAAAAAAGAAAAAGAAAAAAAAAGACAUGGCUCUCAGAGGAUUUAAAAAAAAGAAAACAAAACUAUUGGAAAACAAAGUGUCCUUGCCCCUGCCAAACUCAUAACGGCCACACAUAUCAUCUUGUGAAUAAAUAUUGCAGACAUAUUCAAACUCAGUGAACCCCUAAACUGAAAGUGACUUUAAGCAAGUGAAGGGUAAAAGGAAAACAUUACUGCAUUUUCAGGUGAACCUUUUAGUUUUUGUGCAAAAAAAAAAACACCCCAAUACCAAAAUGGACAGUCACAAUGUGUUCAAAGUUUAAAAAUGUUUUAAAAAGAUACAUUAUUCUGGCCCAAUCUUAUUAUAUCAAUAAUUUGUGGAAAUAAAAAUUAAGAAUAUGCUUUAACAUUUCAUCACCACUGUUUGUGUAAAAAAAAAAAAAAAAAAAAAAAAAAAAAAAAUCACAAAAUGGAAAAA